AUGCAUCCAUGUAUACUAAAAUAUGAUCGAUUCAGAGAAGAUCAGCAUGGCCCCUGUGCAAGGAUGACAUGCAACUCAUGAAGCAUUCCAUGUCUUU
This 97-nucleotide small nuclear RNA is filed under the name Tupaia belangeri (northern tree shrew). Lineage: Eukaryota; Metazoa; Chordata; Mammalia; Scandentia; Tupaiidae. The record is from RNAcentral.